GGGGAAAGAUUUAUCGCCGAAAGAUCGGCCCGCGUCUGAUUAGCUAGUUGGUGAGGUAAUGGCUCACCAAGGCGACGAUCAGUAGCUGGUCUGAGAGGAUGAUCAGCCACAUUGGGACUGAGACACGGCCCAAACUCCUACGGGAGGCAGCAGUGGGGAAUAUUGGACAAUGGGGGCAACCCUGAUCCAGCCAUGCCGCGUGAGUGAUGAAGGCCCUAGGGUUGUAAAGCUCUUUUGUGCGGGAAGAUAAUGACGGUACCGCAAGAAUAAGCCCCGGCUAACUUCGUGCCAGCAGCCGCGGUAAUACGAAGGGGGCUAGCGUUGCUCGGAAUCACUGGGCGUAAAGGGUGCGUAGGCGGGUCUUUAAGUCAGGGGCGAAAUCCUGGAGCUCAACUCCAGAACUGCCUUUGAUACUGAAGAUCUUGAGUUCGGGAGAGGUGAGUGGAACUGCGAGUGUAGAGGUGAAAUUCGUAGAUAUUCGCAAGAACACCAGUGGCGAAGGCGGCUCACUGGCCCGAUACUGACGCUGAGGCACGAAAGC
Molecule: ribosomal RNA, 541 nt
Filed under: uncultured Bradyrhizobium sp.
Lineage: Bacteria; Pseudomonadati; Pseudomonadota; Alphaproteobacteria; Hyphomicrobiales; Nitrobacteraceae
Description: bacterial SSU rRNA
Rfam family: Bacterial small subunit ribosomal RNA
Source: RNAcentral